This is a long non-coding RNA of Sipha flava (yellow sugarcane aphid), 423 nucleotides long. RefSeq lists it as uncharacterized. NCBI's taxonomy places the organism in Eukaryota, Metazoa, Arthropoda, Insecta, Hemiptera, Aphididae. The transcript has 2 exons. The record is from RefSeq and is a predicted model, not a curated record.
GGUGGAGGACAGGGAGUGAAAGAGAGAGAGAGCGUGAGAGAUUGAUUGAGCGGGAGCGAGAGAAACUAGUACACGAGAGGGACUACUGGAUGUGUCGUAGCGAGUGUGUGUGCGACUGUGUUGCGUCUAAUUUUUUCGACUUUCCGAGGCGAAACCAUGCGAUCUAAGGUUGUCUUCCGUGCGUCGUGUUCGUGAUUUUAAUAUCAACAACAGAUUACGCGGUGUUUUCCACAUGGUGCCGACCAACCCGAGGCCGUGGAGAGAAAUCAAGGGCCCCAGAGACAAAUUAAUCCAGGCGCUUCUCACACGACGUAUUAAACUUACCAUUGCAUCCAGCGUCUUCUUUUAAAAUGUGUAUAUCAAAGAGAUAAUGUAAUCGCAGUUAUGAUUAUUCCACAGAUUAAAUGAAAAUAAUUAUUUAUA